This 484-nucleotide ribosomal RNA is filed under the name uncultured bacterium. RNAcentral describes it as "partial 16S ribosomal RNA". It matches the Rfam family "Bacterial small subunit ribosomal RNA", at positions 30 to 507 of the family's 1533-position model. The record is from RNAcentral.
AUUGAACGCUGGCGGCAGGCCUAACACAUGCAAGUCGAGCGGAUGAAGGGAGCUUGCUCCUGGAUUCAGCGGCGGACGGGUGAGUAAUGCCUAGGAAUCUGCCUGGUAGUGGGGGAUAACGUCCGGAAACGGGCGCUAAUACCGCAUACGUCCUGAGGGAGAAAGUGGGGGAUCUUCGGACCUCACGCUAUCAGAUGAGCCUAGGUCGGAUUAGCUAGUUGGUGGGGUAGAGGCCUACCAAGGCGACGAUCCGUAACUGGUCUGAGAGGAUGAUCAGUCACACUGGAACUGAGACACGGUCCAGACUCCUACGGGAGGCAGCAGUGGGGAAUAUUGGACAAUGGGCGAAAGCCUGAUCCAGCCAUGCCGCGUGUGUGAAGAAGGUCUUCGGAUUGUAAAGCACUUUAAGUUGGGAGGAAGGGCAGUAAGUUAAUACCUUGCUGUUUUGACGUUACCAACGGAAUAAGCACCGGCUAACUUCGUG